RNAcentral lists this ribosomal RNA (406 nucleotides) under uncultured bacterium. Its description in RNAcentral is "partial 16S ribosomal RNA". It matches the Rfam family "Bacterial small subunit ribosomal RNA", at positions 30 to 526 of the family's 1533-position model. The record is from RNAcentral.
AUUGAACGCUGGCGGCAGGCCUAACACAUGCAAGUCGACCGAGUGGCGGACGGGUGAGUAAUGUCUGGGAAACUGCCUGAUGGAGGGGGCUAACUACUGGAAACGGUAGCUAAUACCGCAUACCAUCAGAUGUGCCCAGAUGGGAUUAGCUUGUUGGUGGGGUAACGGCUCCCCAGGGCGACGAUCCCUAGCUGGUCUGAGAGGAUGACCAGCCACACUGGAACUGAUACACGGUCCAGACUCCUGCGGAAGGCAGCAGUGGGAAAUAUUGAACAAUGGGCGAAAGCCUGAUGCAGCCAUGCCGCGUGUAUGAAGAAGGCGUGGAAGUUGUAGAGUACUUUCAGCGGGGAGGCGUUACCCGCAGAAGAAGCACCGGCGAACUCCGUGCAAGCAGCCGCGGUAAUAC